This is a long non-coding RNA of Gouania willdenowi (blunt-snouted clingfish), 3472 nucleotides long. Ensembl lists it as uncharacterized. The record is from Ensembl. Lineage: Eukaryota; Metazoa; Chordata; Actinopteri; Blenniiformes; Gobiesocidae.
GUCCUGGGACAGAGAACAGAUUCACACGCACACGUCCACCAUUGGAUUUGUCUUCAUUAAGUGACACGCAGGGCCGGGGCCCCUGCUCUGCUCCACGGGCCCUGCUCUGCUCCACGGGCCCUGCUCUGCCCCACGGCCCCUGCUCUGCUCCACGGGCCCUGCUCUGCUCCACGGCUCCUGCUCUGCCCCACGGGCCCUGCUCUGCUCCACGGGCCCCUGCUCUGCCCCACGGCCCCUGCUCUGCUCCACGGCCCCUGCUCUGCUCCACGGGCCCUGCUCUGCUCCACGGGCCCCUGCUCUGCUCCACGGGCCCUGCUCUGCCACCAUGUCGGCCGCACACAGAGGUCGAGCUGAGCGCCACCGCUUGGAAAACACUGUGGCGUUCCAGGCCUGGUGGAGGCCGCUGGCUCGUCUGUCAGGCUCCGCCUUUCCCCACGGUGAUGACUCAGCACAACGUGCUCACAGGAAACAAUUGACCUUUGUGUCGUUCGUCAGCAAAGCCGUACUGUGGGAGAGAGAGGCGCGCACCUACAGCCUCACUGUUCGUCCUGCUCUGCGUCCGUCCAUGUGUCCUCGCUUCCUGUCCCACAUGAAGAAGGAGAACCUCAAAGCUCCUCCUGUGGUCACCUUCGUCCCAGUGCUGCCUCACACUCCUCACACUACAAGGACACGCCCACCAGAGGGUUCGGUUCCUCUCAGCCCUGAUGGAGGAACGCGCUGCUUAGCAAAGCUCAGUUCCAGAGCAGAAAGGCAGCUCACUGUCGUUCCUCCACCAUCGUCCAGCGACCGCGCCACCAUCCGUGCCACCGACAGAUCCAAGCCCCUCCUCCUACCUUUACUCGACAAAGCCGAAGCUUCGGACGGGAGAAGAACGCUGAGAGAGGAAAUGCUGGGCAUUCGCUGUGGAACCGACCUCGAGUCUGUAGCUUCACCGACCUCGUCUCUGUCCAAGCUAACUCGUCCGCCUUCCAGUUUGUUCCGCAGCGAGGACCUCACCAGUGGGAGGAGCAGCGUACUGAGGGCCUCAAACUACGAAAUCUCUGCCUUUGAUUCUUCCUUACGUCGUCCUUCCCUGACUGGUGGAUUGUUACCUCCAGCGUCUGACGCGGUCACUGAAACAAAGGCCCAUCACUCCUCGUUGAGUCCAUCUCACACGUUGCCUCUGAUCCAUGAGCCUCACGAAGACCACCUCAGCGUCCCACGUGCUGCAGACAAAGAAAUCACCGCCUCUGAUUCUUCCUCAUGUCGCCCUUCCCUAACUGGUGGAGUGUUCCCUCCACUGUCCGUCACGGUCACUGAAACCAAGGCUCAUCCCUUCAUGGAGAGUCCAUUUCAUGUGUUGCCUCACAAAGACCUCCUCACUGUCCCGUGUGCUGCAGACGAAGCAGAAGUAUCAGACCAUGGUUCCUCAUCAUGCCAGCCUUCAUUGAUUGGUGGAUUUUCAGAUCCACUUUCGGAAACCAAGGCUCAUCAACCCUCAAAAAGUCCGACUCACACUUCCCCUCCGACCUAUGAGCAUGGCUUAAACCAAGCCUCAACAAUCGCCCCUCGUUCUCCUCCCAUCAUUUACACUGACAGAGAAAAGCUUCUGAGCUGCGAAACAGUGAAAGAUGAACUUCAACACGAGUCCAAAGCUUCUGGAUUUAAAGCGUUUUCCUCUGAGGAGAACCGUGUUCCAUCAACGCUCAACUCUGCUGCUAAUCAUCCCAGUCCUCAGAUGGUCUUUCCGUUAUCUGAAGUCAGGGCAGCAUCACUGUCUCCUCAUUGGCCGGUUCUGCCUCGCAUCUCCGCCCUCAGAGGAGGCUCCUCUUCAUCCUCUUCAUCCUGCUGCUCUGAGAUCAGCUGCUCUCAGUCUCACAUGUUUGAUGAGCUGGAUGCCAUAGCUCCGCCUUCAACCUCCGCCUUGUCCCUGGAUCAGUUAAUGGACUCAUCAGGCAGACACUCACCUGGCACAGAUUUGUCUCCAGGUCUGGCCGCUCUCACCGUCGCCUGUGACUCAGGGAAUCUGGGCUCGUUGUCCCGGGUCCAGCUGCUGCUCCUGGACCGAGCCGUCCUGGACUCUGGAACAUCACCGCCGAGCCUGGAGAAGGAGGAGGAGGAGGAGGAGGAGGAGCUCCGUCCAGGAUGGAGCUCAGGGAGUUUAGGUUCCCAUACAGACGAACGGGACAAAGAUUCAGCGGGAGGUGAGGGGCCCGAACACCGCGAGGUGCUGAGCGUGCUCGCCAAGCUGCAGCAGGAGACGCCACGUCAGGGCCAGGAGGGCCACAAGAGCCGGGAGGGCCACAACAGCCAGGAGGGCCACAACAGCCAGGAGGGCCACAACAGCCAGGAGGGCCACAAGAGUCAGGAGGGCCACAAGAGCCAGGAGGGCCACAAGAGUCAGGAGGGCCACAACAGCCAGGAGGGCCACAAGAGUCAGGAGGGCCACAAGAGUCAGGAGGGCCACAAGAGCCAGGAGGGCCACAAGAGCCAUGAGGGCCACAAGAGCCAGGAGGGCCGGGAACGCUCCAACUUUGAGGAUUUCGACUUUCUGUCCAAGUUUUGUAUCUUCAGCGGAGAGAAGUUAGCGGAGUACAGCAGAGUGUUCCAGACUGUGGACUUGGACCAGGACGGGUUCCUCUCUUUCCCACAGGUUUUAGAGGCACUUAAACGCAUCGUUCCAGCUGAGCUGCUGUCUGAUGAUGAACAGGUUUACGUCUACAGGAUCCUAGAGAUGGUUGACUUCAGGGUGAUGGAUGGACUGGUCGACCUCAGGCUGUUUGCCGUCAUCUCCAGCCUGGCUGAGAAGAUCUCAUCUAUGGAAUGGUCCUGUCUCCACAUGACUGUUCUUCAAUGUUCAUGUCUGUGUUCAACCACCUUCAGCUACAGUGGGGGUCCCCGCUCUCUGGGACCUUUAUUUUGGGGGUCGUGGCUUGAAAAGGUUGAGAACCACUGGUGUAGCGUCCAGAACUCAGACGGCAGCACAAAACGAGAGGACGUAAAUCAGGACAGCCUCAGCCUGGCUGAAAGGAAGCUCUCAGUCCAGACCUUGACCAACAGGACGUCCGUGGUCCUGUUGUGGUCCAGAGCCACAGACACUCAUAGGAGAUCACAGAUGCACAGAUUGUGGAAAAGGUGCUGAAAUGGGUGAAGAGUUGCAUAGAAGAGUGAAAAUAGGCUGGAAAUAUGAGGUUAAAAGUGACAAUAAUGGGUCAACAUAUGUGUCAUUAGGUAAAAAAGUGGUAGAAAGGUUUUUAUAAGUGCUGAAAAUGUCUGGAAAGUAGAAAAAAUGUGCAGAAAAGACAUUGAAAUGUGAUGGAGAAAUGUCAGAAAUGGGAGAAAUGUAGCAAAAAUACAUUAAAAGGAGCAAAAAUACAUUAAAAGGAGCAAAAAUAUGACAAGAAAAAGUGAUGAAAAUUGGUUAAAAUAUAGAAAGUUUGGUGUAGUUGCAGAAAAACGGUAAAAAUAAACAAAAAUUAGCUCAAAUUGUUCA